AGAGGAGGCUAUACUGCAGUCGAGCGAGCUUGCCUAGAUGAUUUUAGUGCUUGCACUAAAUGAAACUAGAUACAAGCGACCCGUGGACGGGUGAGUAACACGUGGGUAACCUGCCCAAGAGACUGGGAUAACACCUGGAAACAGAUGCUAAUACCGGAUAACAACACUAGACGCAUGUCUAGAGUUUGAAAGAUGGUUCUGCUAUCACUCUUGGAUGGACCUGCGGUGCAUUAGCUAGUUGGUAAGGUAACGGCUUACCAAGGCAAUAAUGCAUAGCCGAGUUGAGAGACUGAUCGGCCACAUUGGGACUGAGACACGGCCCAAACUCCUACGGGAGGCAGCAGUAGGGAAUCUUCCACAAUGGACGAAAGUCUGAUGGAGCAACGCCGCGUGAGUGAAGAAGGGUUUCGGCUCGUAAAGCUCUGUUGGUAGUGAAGAAAGAUAGAGGUAGUAACUGGCCUUUAUUUGACGGUAAUUACUUAGAAAGUCACGGCUAACUACGUGCCAGCAGCCGCGGUAAUACGUAGGUGGCAAGCGUUGUCCGGAUUUAUUGGGCGUAAAGCGAGUGCAGGCGGUUCAAUAAGUCUGAUGUGAAAGCCUUCGGCUCAACCGGAGAAUUGCAUCAGAAACUGUUGAACUUGAGUGCAGAAGAGGAGAGUGGAACUCCAUGUGUAGCGGUGGAAUGCGUAGAUAUAUGGAAGAACACCAGUGGCGAAGGCGGCUCUCUGGUCUGCAACUGACGCUGAGGCU
This 750-nucleotide ribosomal RNA is filed under the name uncultured bacterium. RNAcentral's name for it is "bacterial SSU rRNA". It matches the Rfam family "Bacterial small subunit ribosomal RNA", at positions 38 to 753 of the family's 1533-position model. The record is from RNAcentral.